RNAcentral lists this ribosomal RNA (253 nucleotides) under uncultured bacterium. Its description in RNAcentral is "partial 16S ribosomal RNA". It matches the Rfam family "Bacterial small subunit ribosomal RNA", at positions 524 to 776 of the family's 1533-position model. The record is from RNAcentral.
UACGGAGGGAGCUAGCGUUGUUCGGAAUUACUGGGCGUAAAGCGCGCGUAGGCGGCUUUGUAAGUUAGAGGUGAAAGCCCGGGGCUCAACUCCGGAACUGCCUUUAAGACUGCAUCGCUAGAAUCCGGGAGAGGUGAGUGGAAUUCCGAGUGUAGAGGUGAAAUUCGUAGAUAUUCGGAAGAACACCAGUGGCGAAGGCGACUUACUGGACGACUGUUGACGCUGAGGUGCGAAAGCGUGGGGAGCAAACAGG